RNAcentral lists this ribosomal RNA (492 nucleotides) under uncultured bacterium. RNAcentral's name for it is "partial 16S ribosomal RNA". It matches the Rfam family "Bacterial small subunit ribosomal RNA", at positions 29 to 507 of the family's 1533-position model. The record is from RNAcentral.
AGUGAACGCUGGCGGUAGGCCUAACACAUGCAAGUCGAACGGCAGCACAGUAAGAGCUUGCUCUUACGGGUGGCGAGUGGCGGACGGGUGAGGAAUACAUCGGAAUCUACUUUUUCGUGGGGGAUAACGUAGGGAAACUUACGCUAAUACCGCAUACGACCUACGGGUGAAAGCAGGGGAUCUUCGGACCUUGCGCGAUUGAAUGAGCCGAUGUCGGAUUAGCUAGUUGGCGGGGUAAAGGCCCACCAAGGCGACGAUCCGUAGCUGGUCUGGGAGGAUGAUCAGCCACACUGGAACUGAGACACGGUCCAGACUCCUACGGGAGGCAGCAGUGGGGAAUAUUGGACAAUGGGCGCAAGCCUGAUCCAGCCAUACCGCGUAGGUGAAGAAGGCCUUCGGGUUGUAAAGCCCUUUUGUUGGGAAAGAAAAGCAGCAGGUUAAUACCCCGCUGUUCUGACGGUACCCAAAGAAUAAGCACCGGCUAACUUCGUG